This 94-nucleotide ribosomal RNA is filed under the name Myotis lucifugus (little brown bat). The record is from RNAcentral. Lineage: Eukaryota; Metazoa; Chordata; Mammalia; Chiroptera; Vespertilionidae.
GUCUAUGGCCAUAUUACCCUGAACACGCCUGAUCUCAUCUGAUCUUGGAAGCUAAGCAGGCUCGGGCCUGGUUAGAACUUGGAUGGGAGAAACA